Unclassified non-coding RNA from Pteropus vampyrus (large flying fox), 318 nucleotides. Its record names the gene 7SK. It matches the Rfam family "7SK RNA". From Rfam's summary of the family: 7SK was discovered as an abundant small nuclear RNA in the mid-70s but a possible function has only recently been suggested. The record is from Ensembl. NCBI's taxonomy places the organism in Eukaryota, Metazoa, Chordata, Mammalia, Chiroptera, Pteropodidae.
GGAUGUAAGUGUCAUCUAGCUGUGAUAUCGGUAAUCCCACUGAUUGCCAGAUUUGAUUCAGCUUAUCUGGUUGGCUAGAUGGUGUCCCCUUCCUCCCUCCACAUUCAUCUGCACCCCCACUCCCCACCUCGAAGCUGUGCGAUCAGUCGAAGAAAACCUUCCCCAACAGAGCAGGUCUAUUCUUCACUCAAGAGCAUGUAAAUAUAUGCAUUCCUUUUCUGUGGCACUAGGAGAAUUGCUCUACUAGAACCAAACAGGCUCUCAGGAGAUAAUGGGGUGACUGAAUAAGCAAUGGGACCCAGCCAGAGGCUGUCCUUU